AUACGGAGGGUCCAAGCGUUAUGCGGAAUCAUUGGGUUUAAAGGGUUCGCAGGCGGUUUAAUAAGUCAGUGGUGAAAUCUCGGGGCUCAACCUCGAAACUGCCAUUGAUACUGUUAGACUUGAAUACAGUUGGAGUAGGCGGAAUGUGUAGUGUAGCGGUGAAAUGCUUAGAUAUUACACAGAACACCGAUAGCGAAGGCAGCUUACUAAACUGUGAUUGACGCUCAUGAACGAAAGCGUGGGGAGCGAACAGGAUUAGAUACCCUAGUAGUCC
This 274-nucleotide ribosomal RNA is filed under the name uncultured bacterium. RNAcentral describes it as "partial 16S ribosomal RNA". It matches the Rfam family "Bacterial small subunit ribosomal RNA", at positions 523 to 796 of the family's 1533-position model. The record is from RNAcentral.